UACGUAGGGCCCGAGCGUUAUCCGGAAUUAUUGGGCGUAAAGAACGUGUAGGUGUUCUACCAAGUCGGUCGUUAAAUCUUAGAGCUCAACUCUAAGGCUGCGAGCGAAACUGGUGGAAUUGAGGUUUACAGGGGCAAGCAGAAUUCCAGGAGUAGGGGUGAAAUCCGUUGAUACCUGGAGGAAUACCAAUGGCGAAGGCAGCUUGCUGGGUAAUACCUGACACUGAGACGUGAAAGCGUGGGGAGCAAACGGG
RNAcentral lists this ribosomal RNA (253 nucleotides) under uncultured bacterium. Its description in RNAcentral is "partial 16S ribosomal RNA". It matches the Rfam family "Bacterial small subunit ribosomal RNA", at positions 524 to 776 of the family's 1533-position model. The record is from RNAcentral.